This 520-nucleotide ribosomal RNA is filed under the name uncultured Archaeospora. RNAcentral's name for it is "SSU rRNA". It matches the Rfam family "Eukaryotic small subunit ribosomal RNA", at positions 569 to 1090 of the family's 1831-position model. Lineage: Eukaryota; Fungi; Glomeromycota; Glomeromycetes; Archaeosporales; Archaeosporaceae. The record is from RNAcentral.
AGCAGCCGCGGUAAUUCCAGCUCCAAUAGCGUAUAUUAAAGUUGUUGCAGUUAAAAAGCUCGUAGUUGAAUUUUGGAUUCUUCCAAUUGGUCCAUCUUUUAGAUGAGUACUGGUUGUGUGGGGUCUAUCCGCCUGGUGAUACGUAAUGUCCUUUAUUGGAUGUUUCGGGUAGUCAGGACCUUUACCUUGAAAAAAGUUAGAGUGUUUAAAGCAGGCUUAUGCCGGAAUACAUUAGCAUGGAAUAAUAGAAUAGGACGAAGUUGUUUUAUUUUGUUGGUUUCUAGGACAACCGUAAUGAUUAAUAGGGAUAGUUGGGGGCAUUAGUAUUCAAUUGUCAGAGGUGAAAUUCUUGGAUUUAUUGAAGACUAACCACUGCGAAAGCAUUUGCCAAGGAUGUUUUCAUUAAUCAAGAACGAAAGUUAGGGGAUCGAAGACGAUCAGAUACCGUCGUAGUCUUAACCAUAAACUAUGCCGACUAGGGAUCGGGCGAUGUUGUUUCCAUGACUCGCUCGGCACCUUA